Molecule: long non-coding RNA, 592 nt
Organism: Urocitellus parryii (Arctic ground squirrel)
Lineage: Eukaryota; Metazoa; Chordata; Mammalia; Rodentia; Sciuridae
Source: RefSeq, a predicted model, not a curated record
GGCUCCUUCCUCUCGGCGAGGGUGGGCCGGCCGGUAUCACCGUGACAUCACCUCCAUUCACGGCGCUUAUCCGGCGCCCGCGGCGCUCCAGGUUCUCCAGACAUCRGCUCUAGUCCCCUGCAGCCCUGCCUCAGGCAGGUGAAGGACUGGACUGUCUGUUGCCUGAUCGUGGAUCACCACCCGGGAGUCCUUUGCAAAGGGGCCCCACUCUCAAGGGCUGAGCCCUGGGGAAAUGUAGGAGCGGAUCUUCGUUCCACAUGGUGGAAGGGAUGAUUAAGGAACAGCAAGUUGCUGUGAGACAUCUCCUCUGUUCUCUUGCCUUCUUAUUCCCCAGCCCCCAAUAUUUUCCAGCCCUGUGUGAAGUCAUCCCUGUCAAGUUCAAGGUUUGCCUCCUUCACAGUCCCCUGGGAGCGCAUGAAGACUACAGGCUUCUGAACCUGUUCCAUAAGAAUCUCCAAGUGUUGGGAGUUCAUAACCCACUUGAAUCAAACUGUGAAAUAUGAUAUAUUAAGAACUGUGUAAUGUUUUGAACUACCAACAAUAAAAAAAAAAAAAAAGAAUCUCCAAGUGCAACAGACUAUUAGGUCUCAUA